CCCCAGAGGACAAAAUGAGAAGGCUGGAUGGGGGCUGAAAAGGUUCUUUUGGCUGCCACAGUGACGGGGAGGUUGGACUUGACUCUGUAGGAGCCAGUGAAAUGGAGACCCAGGGCUGCAGAAUGAAGUGCGAGAUGCCAGUCUCUUCACACUGACCCCACCUCUGGACCUCUGCAUUUUCCUGUUGGAGACCCCAAAGGCAUGAAGUGUGAGAAAGAAAACAGAAACUCAGAGAAAGCUGAAAUAACGGCUCGUGAUCACACAUCUCGGUGGCAGGCUGGACUUCAAC
This is a long non-coding RNA of Condylura cristata (star-nosed mole), 289 nucleotides long. RefSeq lists it as uncharacterized. The record is from RefSeq and is a predicted model, not a curated record. The transcript has 3 exons. NCBI's taxonomy places the organism in Eukaryota, Metazoa, Chordata, Mammalia, Eulipotyphla, Talpidae.